UACGUAGGGGGCAAGCGUUGUCCGGAUUUAUUGGGCGUAAAGAGCGUGUAGGCGGCCUGACAGGUCUGCUGUGAAAACUCGAGGCUCAACCUCGAGAUGUCGGCGGAAACCGUCUGGCUAGAGUCCGGAAGAGGAGAGUGGAAUUCCCGGUGUAGCGGUGAAAUGCGCAGAUAUCAGGAAGAACACCUAUGGCGAAGGCAGCUCUCUGGGACGGUACUGACGCUGAGACGCGAAAGCGUGGGGAGCGAACAGG
Molecule: ribosomal RNA, 253 nt
Filed under: uncultured bacterium
Lineage: Bacteria
Description: partial 16S ribosomal RNA
Rfam family: Bacterial small subunit ribosomal RNA
Source: RNAcentral